UUUAGGCCGUUGAAGCGACACCCCUUGCUUUGCAGCUUUCUCCUACACGAUAUUUCGCAGAGAUCAAAUCCCCUAACUACAUUAUUACAUUACUACAAAAAGGAUUAACCCAAUAGCUUAAGAAACCGAAACCUACCACCAAGUGAAACCCCACUUACCCUAAUCGUACGACGAAUAACGAAAUUUCGAAAUGUAACAAGAAGAACAAAAGAGUGCAAACUAAAAUUAAAAGGGAAAAAAAUGAAAAACAGUGCAGAGAAGGGAAAGGGAAAAAACGUCAAAAAAAUUUAGGGAGAAAAGAGAAAAACAAAAAAAUUAAAAAAAUUAAAAUUAAAAUAGAAAAAACUCCAACAAGACCUCCAACAAGCCAACUCCUUACCACUCAAACCAGC
Molecule: long non-coding RNA, 392 nt
Filed under: Gossypium raimondii (Peruvian cotton)
Lineage: Eukaryota; Viridiplantae; Streptophyta; Magnoliopsida; Malvales; Malvaceae
Description: long non-coding RNA (GRAI_LNC010548)
Source: RNAcentral